AUACCUGCAACCAAUUUCCUCUCUGUUUCAGAAAAACUUGAUAUGAGAAAACUGGCUGCCAAGAGAUAGAAGAAAGAUGCAAACAAAUUCCAGAUUGACAGACUACAAUUUAUUAAGUAUUUACACACGGAAGUACAUCUUGGGCAGCAGCAAGCAGAAGGAUCCCUGCACACCAAGACAGAUCUUCAGUCUCAACAGAGCUUCUGGAAUCUCAUCUCAUCCACCAGGACCUUUCUGACUAUUCCAGUUCAUUCUGAGCUCUUCUUUCACGGACUGUACCAUCCGUCGGCACUAAAGAGAACAACUCAUAGCUUACAAAGUGCCUCUUCCACAG
RNAcentral lists this long non-coding RNA (334 nucleotides) under Cavia porcellus (domestic guinea pig). Its description in RNAcentral is "lncRNA (ENSCPOG00000037856.1)". Lineage: Eukaryota; Metazoa; Chordata; Mammalia; Rodentia; Caviidae. The record is from RNAcentral.